This 1238-nucleotide long non-coding RNA is filed under the name Homo sapiens (human). Its description in RNAcentral is "HSALNT0334377". Lineage: Eukaryota; Metazoa; Chordata; Mammalia; Primates; Hominidae. The record is from RNAcentral.
UGCAGAGCCCAGGCGCGUGGGUCGGUGUCGGGUGUGUGUGUACGUCUGUGUGUGUAAUGAAACUGGACGCCUUCCUUCCCGGCGAUCUUGACUUAACCUGUCAGCAGAGGGCUUGAGGUUAGACCACAGGUUGAACCUAGGUGGCUGCUGGAGAGGCCUUGAAAUCAUGGCAGCAGCAAGACCCAACUGGGGCAGCAUCAUGUCUGGGUUUGAAUCCCGGUUCAGCCACUUUCCAGCUGUGUGAUGUGGGGCAAGUCAGGCUCAGAUCCCACCAGGACUGCAACCCUUAGCCCUGUCUGGUCUCCCCUGCAACCCUUGAGGCCACCCUGGAGGCUCAGCCAUCCAUUCACCCCAGAAACACUCUGUCUUCCUGCUUUGAGGACAGCUGAAGUCUUGCCACUUCUUCUGGAUGCUCUGACCAUCAGUAAGCCACCUCAGUCUCACCCUCCGCAGAAUGCAGGCCCACUCCGUUGCUGAAGGGCCUCCUCCUUGGGCCAGGGCGCCUGCUUCUGCCAGUGGCAUCAUCACCCCACUCCUCAGCCGCCAGUCAUCAGAGACACGGUCUGACUUUGUUACCCCGGCUGGAGUGCAGUGGUGCAAUCAUGGCUCACUGCAGCCUUAACCUCCUGGGCUCAAGUGAUCCUCUCGCCAAGGCUAGGAUAAGUAGCUAGGACUACAGAUGCGCCCCAUCACGCCCAGCUAAUUUUACAACUUCUGUAGAGAUGGAGUGUUGCUGGGUUGCCCAGGCUGGUCUUGAAUUCCUGGGCUCAAGCGAUCCUCCUGUGUCCGGAAUUGGUGGGUUCUUGGUCUCACUGACUUCAAGAAUGAAGCCGCGGACCCUCGCGGUGAGUGUUACAGUUCUUAAAGACAGCGUGUCCAGAGUUUGUUCCUUCUGAUGUUCAGAUGUGUUCAGAGUUUCUUCCUUCUGGUGGGUUCGUGGUCUCGCUGGCUUAGGGGUGAAGCUGCAGACCUUCGCGGUGAGUGUUACAGUUCUUAGGGCGGCGCGUCUGGAGUUGUCUGUUCCUCCCGGUGGGCUCGUAGUCUCGCUGGCUUCAGGAGUGAAGCUGCAGACCUUCGCGGUGAGUGUUACAGCUCAUAAAGGCAGCGUGGACCUACAGAGUGAGCAGUAGCAAGAUUUAUUGCAAAGAGCAAAAGAACAAAGCUUCCACAGCGUGGAAAGGGAUCCCAGCGGGUUGCCACUGCGGGCUGGGGCAGCCUGCUUUUAUUCUCUUAUCUGG